Molecule: long non-coding RNA, 467 nt
Filed under: Ananas comosus (pineapple)
Lineage: Eukaryota; Viridiplantae; Streptophyta; Magnoliopsida; Poales; Bromeliaceae
Description: long non-coding RNA (ACOM_LNC000326)
Source: RNAcentral
UGGGUUCGUUUGGGCAGCCCUUGUGAGAUUGGGUCAGUGUGAUGCAUGUCUAUGUCUACAGAUAGCAUGUGUUUGUUAGCAAUAGUAUAGUUACAUGUAGUUGUAGAAUUCUUUUCAGCUUUUCUUACUAUCCUUUGCAUACUUUACUGUAGACUUAGUAGGUAGGCGGUUGGAGUCGGUGACGGUACUCACUAAGGACUACUCUGGUUGGCAGUAGUUCUCACACCUAAUUGUUGCUAUGUUUUUGCAGAGCCUUCGCCUACGGCUGCUGCUGUUGCUGAUUGCGACCGUCGUAAGAGAGUCGCUGGUUAGAUCCCUUCCAUCCCUGGUCUUUUGCUAGAGGGGCACCCAUCAGAGGUAGUUUUGAGAUUUUAUGUACAUACUGUUAUAUUGUUGUAUUCGCUGGAGCGAGUUGGUUCCGUGGUUUCUGUAUAUACAGUGGACCCUUUAUGUUUUAUAUAUACAUA